This 73-nucleotide transfer RNA is filed under the name Fasciola gigantica. It matches the Rfam family "tRNA". From Rfam's summary of the family: Transfer RNA (tRNA) molecules are approximately 80 nucleotides in length. Their secondary structure includes four short double-helical elements and three loops (D, anti-codon, and T loops). Lineage: Eukaryota; Metazoa; Platyhelminthes; Trematoda; Plagiorchiida; Fasciolidae. The record is from Rfam by way of RNAcentral.
GCAGCGAUAGCUUAGGUGGUAGAGCAUCUGCCUGGUAUGCAGGGGAUCACCGGUUCGACUCCGGCUCGCGGCG